GAUGAACGCUGGCGGCGUGCCUAAUACAUGCAAGUCGAGCGAACGGACGAGAAGCUUGCUUCUCUGAUGUUAGCGGCGGACGGGUGAGUAACACGUGGAUAACCUACCUAUAAGACUGGGAUAACUUCGGGAAACCGGAGCUAAUACCGGAUAAUAUUUUGAACCGCAUGGUUCAAAAGUGAAAGACGGUCUUGCUGUCACUUAUAGAUGGAUCCGCGCUGCAUUAGCUAGUUGGUAAGGUAACGGCCUACCAAGGCAACGAUGCAUAGCCGACCUGAGAGGAUGAUCAGCCACACUGGAACUGAGACACGGUCCAGACUCCUACGGGAGGCAGCAGUGGGGAAUCUUCGGCAAUGGGCGAAAGCCUGACGGAGCAAUGCCGCGUGAGUGAUGAAGGUCUUCGGAUCGUAAAGCUCUGUUAUUAGGGAAGAACAUAUGUGGAAUUAUCUGUGCACAUCUUGACGGUACCUAAACAGAAAGCCACGGCUAACUACGUG
This 497-nucleotide ribosomal RNA is filed under the name uncultured bacterium. RNAcentral describes it as "partial 16S ribosomal RNA". It matches the Rfam family "Bacterial small subunit ribosomal RNA", at positions 28 to 507 of the family's 1533-position model. The record is from RNAcentral.